Molecule: small nuclear RNA, 103 nt
Organism: Marmota marmota marmota (Alpine marmot)
Lineage: Eukaryota; Metazoa; Chordata; Mammalia; Rodentia; Sciuridae
Source: Ensembl
GUGCUAAAUUUGAUAGCCCAUUCACUAUAACUGGAAUGAUAGAAAACUAACAUGGCCUCUGUGUAAGGCUGACAUGCAAAUUUGCCAAGUGUUCUAUAUUUUA